GACGAACGCUGGCGGCGUGCUUAACACAUGCCAGUCGAACGGAAAGGCCCUGCUUUUGUGGGGUGCUCGAGUGGCGAACGGGUGAGUAACACGUGAGUAACCUGCCCUUGACUUUGGGAUAACUUCAGGAAACUGGGGCUAAUACCGGAUAGGAGCUCCUGCUGCAUGGUGGGGGUGGGAAAGUUUCGGCGGUUGGGGAUGGACGCGCGGCUUAUCAGCUGGUUGGUGGGGUAGUGGCUUACCAAGGCUUUGACGGGUAGCCGGCCUGAGAGGGUGACCGGCCACAUUGGGACUGAGAUACGGCCCAGACUCCUACGGGAGGCAGCAGUGGGGAAUAUUGCACAAUGGGCGGAAGCCUGAUGCAGCAACGCCGCGUGCGGGAUGACGGCCUUCGGGUUGUAAACCGCUUUCGCCUGUGACGAAGCGUGAGUGACGGUAAUGGGUAAAGAAGCACCGGCUAACUACGUG
RNAcentral lists this ribosomal RNA (468 nucleotides) under uncultured bacterium. RNAcentral's name for it is "partial 16S ribosomal RNA". It matches the Rfam family "Bacterial small subunit ribosomal RNA", at positions 28 to 507 of the family's 1533-position model. The record is from RNAcentral.